Molecule: ribosomal RNA, 1963 nt
Filed under: Escherichia coli
Lineage: Bacteria; Pseudomonadati; Pseudomonadota; Gammaproteobacteria; Enterobacterales; Enterobacteriaceae
Description: partial 23S ribosomal RNA
Rfam family: Bacterial large subunit ribosomal RNA
Source: RNAcentral
GUUAAGCGACUAAGCGUACACGGUGGAUGCCCUGGCAGUCAGAGGCGAUGAAGGACGUGCUAAUCUGCGAUAAGCGUCGGUGAGGUGAUAUGAACCGUUAUAACCGGCGAUUUCCGAAUGGGGAAACCCAGUGUGUUUCGACACACUAUCAUUAACUGAAUCCAUAGGUUAAUGAGGCGAACCGGGGGAACUGAAACAUCUAAGUACCCCGAGGAAAAGAAAUCAACCGAGAUUCCCCCAGUAGCGGCGAGCGAACGGGGAGGAGCCCAGAGCCUGAAUCAGUGUGUGUGUUAGUGGAAGCGUCUGGAAAGGCGCGCGAUACAGGGUGACAGCCCCGUACACAAAAAUGCACAUAUUGUGAGCUCGAUGAGUAGGGCGGGACACGUGGUAUCCUGUCUGAAUAUGGGGGGACCAUCCUCCAAGGCUAAAUACUCCUGACUGACCGAUAGUGAACCAGUACCGUGAGGGAAAGGCGAAAAGAACCCCGGCGAGGGGAGUGAAAAAGAACCUGAAACCGUGUACGUACAAGCAGUGGGAGCCUCUUUAUGGGGUGACUGCGUACCUUUUGUAUAAUGGGUCAGCGACUUAUAUUCUGUAGCAAGGUUAACCGAAUAGGGGAGCCGAAGGGAAACCGAGUCUUAACUGGGCGUUAAGUUGCAGGGUAUAGACCCGAAACCCGGUGAUCUAGCCAUGGGCAGGUUGAAGGUUGGGUAACACUAACUGGAGGACCGAACCGACUAAUGUUGAAAAAUUAGCGGAUGACUUGUGGCUGGGGGUGAAAGGCCAAUCAAACCGGGAGAUAGCUGGUUCUCCCCGAAAGCUAUUUAGGUAGCGCCUCGUGAAUUCAUCUCCGGGGGUAGAGCACUGUUUCGGCAAGGGGGUCAUCCCGACUUACCAACCCGAUGCAAACUGCGAAUACCGGAGAAUGUUAUCACGGGAGACACACGGCGGGUGCUAACGUCCGUCGUGAAGAGGGAAACAACCCAGACCGCCAGCUAAGGUCCCAAAGUCAUGGUUAAGUGGGAAACGAUGUGGGAAGGCCCAGACAGCCAGGAUGUUGGCUUAGAAGCAGCCAUCAUUUAAAGAAAGCGUAAUAGCUCACUGGUCGAGUCGGCCUGCGCGGAAGAUGUAACGGGGCUAAACCAUGCACCGAAGCUGCGGCAGCGACACUAUGUGUUGUUGGGUAGGGGAGCGUUCUGUAAGCCUGUGAAGGUGGCCUGUGAGGGUUGCUGGAGGUAUCAGAAGUGCGAAUGCUGACAUAAGUAACGAUAAAGCGGGUGAAAAGCCCGCUCGCCGGAAGACCAAGGGUUCCUGUCCAACGUUAAUCGGGGCAGGGUGAGUCGACCCCUAAGGCGAGGCCGAAAGGCGUAGUCGAUGGGAAACAGGUUAAUAUUCCUGUACUUGGUGUUACUGCGAAGGGGGGACGGAGAAGGCUAUGUUGGCCGGGCGACGGUUGUCCCGGUUUAAGCGUGUAGGCUGGUUUUCCAGGCAAAUCCGGAAAACCAAGGCUGAGGCGUGAUGACGAGGCACUACGGUGCUGAAGCGACAAAUGCCCUGCUUCCAGGAAAAGCCUCUAAGCAUCAGGUAACAUCAAAUCGUACCCCAAACCGACACAGGUGGUCAGGUAGAGAAUACCAAGGCGCUUGAGAGAACUCGGGUGAAGGAACUAGGCAAAAUGGUGCCGUAACUUCGGGAGAAGGCACGCUGAUAUGUAGGUGAAGCGACUUGCUCGUGGAGCUGAAAUCAGUCGAAGAUACCAGCUGGCUGCAACUGUUUAUUAAAAACACAGCACUGUGCAAACACGAAAGUGGACGUAUACGGUGUGACGCCUGCCCGGUGCCGGAAGGUUAAUUGAUGGGGUUAGCGGUAACGCGAAGCUCUUGAUCGAAGCCCCGGUAAACGGCGGCCGUAACUAUAACGGUCCUAAGGUAGCGAAAUUCCUUGUCGGGUAAGUUCCGACCUG